Molecule: ribosomal RNA, 1193 nt
Filed under: uncultured organism
Description: bacterial SSU rRNA
Rfam family: Bacterial small subunit ribosomal RNA
Source: RNAcentral
UGGCGGCGUGGAUAAGACAUGCAAGUUGAGCGAUGAACGGACAAUAGCAAUAUUUGAAGGGAUUAGCAGCGAACGGGUGAGUAACACGUGGGAAUCUGCCCUAGGGACUGGGAUAGCCUGACGAAAGUCAGGGUAAUACCGGAUAAGAUCUUCGGAUUAAAGGCGCAAGCCGCUCUAGGAUGAGCCCGCGUUCCAUCAGCUAGUUGGUAGGGUAAAAGCCUACCAAGGCGACGACGGAUAGCUGGUCUGAGAGGACGGUCAGCCACAAUGGAACUGAGACACGGUCCAUACACCUACGGGUGGCAGCAGUCGAGAAUCAUUCACAAUGGGCGAAAGCCUGAUGGUGCGACGCCGCGUGGGGGAUGAAGGCCUUAGGGUCGUAAACCCCUGUCGGUUGUGAGUAAAGCCCGGUUCGAAUCGGGUCUGAUAUUAGCAACAAAGGAAGGGGCGGCUAACUCCGUGCCAGCAGCCGCGGUAAUACGGAGGCCCCAAGCGUUGUUCGGAUUUACUGGGCGUAAAGCGUGCGUAGGCGGCAAGAUAAGUUUGGCGUGAAAUCCCCGGGCCCAACCCGGAAAUUGCGCUGGAAACUAUCUAGCUAGAGGUGUGGAGGGGAGUAUGGAAUUCCCGGUGUAGCAGUGAAAUGCGUAGAUAUCGGGAGGAACACCAGUGGCGAAGGCGAUACUCUGGACACAUUCUGACGCUGAGGUACGAAGGCUAGGGGAGCGAAGAGGAUUAGAUACCCUCGUAGUCCUAGCAGUAAACGGUGUGCACUUGCUGUGGGACGGUUCGACCCGUUCCGUGGCGGAGCUAACGCAUUAAGUGCACCGCCUGGGGAGUACGGCCGCAAGGUUAAAACUCAAAGAAAUUGACGGGGGCCUGCACAAGCGGUGGAGCAUGUGGCUUAAUUCGAUGCAACGCGAAGAACCUUACCUGGGCUUGACAUGUUUGUCAUAGUCCCGUGAAAGCGGGACGUCAGUUCGGCUGGACAAUCACAGGUGCUGCAUGGCUGUCGUCAGCUCGUGUCGUGAGAUGUUGGUUUAAGUACCGCAACGAGCGCAACCCCUAUGUCCUGUUGCCACGGAGAACACGUUUCUCCAGCACUCUGGACAGACUGCCUCAUUUAAUGAGGAGGAAGGUGGGGAUGACGUCAAGUCAGUAUGGCCCUUACGCCCAGGGCUGCACACGUGCUACAA